UGCAGGCAGCCAUAACCAUUCGGCGAAUGGCUUAAGAAUUAGGUCGAUUGGCUUAAGACUUCGGACUUGAAAUUUGUUUGUAUUAUUAUUUGACGGCGGCGAAGAAAAGAAUCCCAGCGAAGAAUUUCAAGUAUGAACGAAACAGAACAUUCUUCUCCUUCACAAGGCAUAAGUAAUAUUUAUUCAUAAUGAACGAGAUGAAAGGUUUUGCUUUGUCUACACCUCUCUUAACGACAUCAAGCAUAACCAAUCGUGGGAAAACAUUCUUCAACAGGAGUGUGGAGGGUGCGGACUGUGUUCUUCAAAGAACGGAAGUGAAGUUUGAAGUCAAAGACAAGGACUUGGAAUCGCAAGAGAGUAUGAUGGAUUUAUAUGAAAGGUGGAUGACACAUUUUGGGAUUUUUAGGGUCGACCCCCUAGAAAAGUGGACACGCUUUGAGAUAUUUAAGGAGACGGUGAAAAAAAAUCGCGCAGCCAACAUAUUUGCAGAUGGCCGACGAAGAGAGAGGUGUCGUUCGAUCACAGGAGACCACAGACACUUCUUUGAUUCGAGGAAGCAAUCAGCAUCUGGAAAAGUACGUGAAGAAUGACAUGUUUUUCUGUAUUAUCAGUUUUAAUAACAAUAUAAUAUAGUAGGGAAUUUUGAAUGAUCUCAGUACUACCGGUGGAUAUUUUAAAACUCUAAUUUGUAUUCCUCUUAAGGCAAGGAUGGUUGCCAAUGCUAGAACUAAUAGCUUC
This is a long non-coding RNA of Papaver somniferum (opium poppy), 738 nucleotides long. RefSeq lists it as uncharacterized. The transcript has 3 exons. The record is from RefSeq and is a predicted model, not a curated record. NCBI's taxonomy places the organism in Eukaryota, Viridiplantae, Streptophyta, Magnoliopsida, Ranunculales, Papaveraceae.